Molecule: unclassified non-coding RNA, 288 nt
Filed under: Hevea brasiliensis (rubber tree)
Lineage: Eukaryota; Viridiplantae; Streptophyta; Magnoliopsida; Malpighiales; Euphorbiaceae
Source: RNAcentral
GCGGAGAUUUUUGUUUAAGAAGUAUUGCACAAUUCCUUAAAAAUACCACAGCAUACUGAAACGGAAUUAGAAACCAGAAAACUGUGCAAUUUAUCCAACAUAAUUACUGUCAAGGGAAUAAAUAAAGUCAUUCAGCCAGUGGCUUUUUAUUAAAUAAAGUCAAUUAACACUCACAAAAGGAUAAAAUAAAAGAGAGCAGAGACAUUCAGCCAUGUGCUAAUGGAAGAUCAAAGAGGACCUGGAAACGUCCCAUUCUCCCUCUGCUCAUUCCACCUCUCAAUCCAUUCA